Molecule: ribosomal RNA, 646 nt
Filed under: Leuconostoc mesenteroides
Lineage: Bacteria; Bacillati; Bacillota; Bacilli; Lactobacillales; Lactobacillaceae
Description: bacterial SSU rRNA
Rfam family: Bacterial small subunit ribosomal RNA
Source: RNAcentral
GAUGAACGCUGGCGGCGUGCCUAAUACAUGCAAGUCGAACGCACAGCGAAAGGUGCUUGCACCUUUCAAGUGAGUGGCGAACGGGUGAGUAACACGUGGACAACCUGCCUCAAGGCUGGGGAUAACAUUUGGAAACAGAUGCUAAUACCGAAUAAAACUUAGUGUCGCAUGACACAAAGUUAAAAGGCGCUUCGGCGUCACCUAGAGAUGGAUCCGCGGUGCAUUAGUUAGUUGGUGGGGUAAAGGCCUACCAAGACAAUGAUGCAUAGCCGAGUUGAGAGACUGAUCGGCCACAUUGGGACUGAGACACGGCCCAAACUCCUACGGGAGGCUGCAGUAGGGAAUCUUCCACAAUGGGCGAAAGCCUGAUGGAGCAACGCCGCGUGUGUGAUGAAGGCUUUCGGGUCGUAAAGCACUGUUGUAUGGGAAGAACAGCUAGAAUAGGAAAUGAUUUUAGUUUGACGGUACCAUACCAGAAAGGGACGGCUAAAUACGUGCCAGCAGCCGCGGUAAUACGUAUGUCCCGAGCGUUAUCCGGAUUUAUUGGGCGUAAAGCGAGCGCAGACGGUUUAUUAAGUCUGAUGUGAAAGCCCGGAGCUCAACUCCGGAAUGGCAUUGGAAACUGGUUAACUUGAGUGCAGUAGAG